This 526-nucleotide ribosomal RNA is filed under the name Paenibacillus sp. Aloe-11. RNAcentral's name for it is "partial 16S ribosomal RNA". Lineage: Bacteria; Bacillati; Bacillota; Bacilli; Caryophanales; Paenibacillaceae. The record is from RNAcentral.
UGCUGGCACGUAGUUAGCCGGGGCUUUCUUCUCAGGUACAGUCACCUCAAGAGCAGUUACUCUCCCAAGCGUUCUUCCCUGGCAACAGAGCUUUACGAUCCGAAAACCUUCAUCACUCACGCGGCGUUGCUCCGUCAGGCUUUCGCCCAUUGCGGAAGAUUCCCUACUGCUGCCUCCCGUAGGAGUCUGGGCCGUGUCUCAGUCCCAGUGUGGCCGAUCACCCUCUCAGGUCGGCUACGCAUCGUCGCCUUGGUAGGCCUUUACCCCACCAACUAGCUAAUGCGCCGCAGGCCCAUCCACAAGUGACAGAUUGCUCCGUCUUUCCUCCUUCUCCCAUGCAGGAAAAGGAUGUAUCGGGUAUUAGCUACCGUUUCCGGUAGUUAUCCCUGUCUUGUGGGCAGGUUGCCUACGUGUUACUCACCCGUCCGCCGCUAGAUUAUUUAGAAGCAAGCUUCUAAAUAAUCCCGCUCGACUUGCAUGUAUUAGGCACGCCGCCAGCGUUCGUCCUGAGCCAGGAUCAAACUCU